Molecule: ribosomal RNA, 468 nt
Filed under: uncultured bacterium
Lineage: Bacteria
Description: partial 16S ribosomal RNA
Rfam family: Bacterial small subunit ribosomal RNA
Source: RNAcentral
GACGAACGCUGGCGGCGUGCUUAACACAUGCAAGUCGAACGGAAAGACCCUGCUUUUGUGGGGUGCUCGAGUGGCGAACGGGUGAGUAACACGUGAGUAACCUGCCCUUGACUUUGGGAUAACUUCAGGAAACUGGGGCUAAUACCGGAUAGGAGCUCCUGCUGCAUGGUGGGGGUUGGAAAGUUUCGGCGGUUGGGGAUGGACUCGCGGCUUAUCAGCUUGUUGGUGGGGUAGUGGCUUACCAAGGCUUUGACGGGUAGCCGGCCUGAGAGGGUGACCGGCCACAUUGUGACUGAGAUACGGCCCAGACUCCUACGGGAGGCAGCAGUGGGGAAUAUUGCACAAUGGGCGGAAGCCUGAUGCAGCAACGCCGCGUGCGGGAUGACGGCCUUCGGGUUGUAAACCGCUUUCGCCUGUGACGAAGCGUGAGUGACGGUAAUGGGUAAAGAAGCACCGGCUAACUACGUG